RNAcentral lists this ribosomal RNA (492 nucleotides) under uncultured bacterium. RNAcentral describes it as "partial 16S ribosomal RNA". It matches the Rfam family "Bacterial small subunit ribosomal RNA", at positions 29 to 507 of the family's 1533-position model. The record is from RNAcentral.
AGUGAACGCUGGCGGUAGGCCUAACACAUGCAAGUCGAACGGCAGCACAGUAAGAGCUUGCUCUUACGGGUGGCGAGUGGCGGACGGGUGAGGAAUACAUCGGAAUCUACUUUUUCGUGGGGGAUAACGUAGGGAAACUUACGCUAAUACCGCAUACGACCUACGGGUGAAAGCAGGGGAUCUUCGGACCUUGUGCGAUUGAAUGAGCCGAUGUCGGAUUAGCUAGUUGGCGGGGUAAAGGCCCACCAAGGCGACGAUCCGUAGCUGGUCUGAGAGGAUGAUCAGCCACACUGGAACUGAGACACGGUCCAGACUCCUACGGGAGGCAGCAGUGCGGAAUAUUGGGCAAUGGGCGCAAGCCUGAUCCAGCCAUACCGCGUGGGUGAAGAAGGCCUUCGGGUUGUAAAGCCCUUUUGUUGGGAAAGAAAAGCAGCAGGUUAAUACCCCGCUGUUCUGACGGUACCCGAAGAAUAAGCACCGGCUAACUUCGUG